This is a long non-coding RNA of Homo sapiens (human), 1657 nucleotides long. The record is from RefSeq and is marked validated. Lineage: Eukaryota; Metazoa; Chordata; Mammalia; Primates; Hominidae.
ACCUGAUCUCAUCAAUCUAGCGGAAGAGACAGGAUAACCUAUCCAAGAGUAUAGCGCCACUAUGACUCCGCCGGAAAAAUUACUUUAAAAAUCGCCAAAAAUUACUUGGAGCAAAGGGCAGUAGGCGGAGCUUCGCCAAGGCUGGCGCAGUCGGUUUUGACCUGUAGCAGAGAACCAAUUCUGGAGAACAGCCUCACUUCUUUGAUUGAAUACUCACAUAAUGCUUUGGAACAGGACAUGAGAUUAAGGUUUAAUAAUGAUAGAAUGAAGACCAUAAUAAAAGAGACCUCUACUUACCUCAGCAAUUCUUACCUUUCUUACCUAUUUGAUGAAGAUGUCUUUUGAAAGGUGUACUGCAAGGAACAAAAUGUUUGUAAAUUCUGCUUUUACCAAGGUUUCUUUUUUAGUUGAUGCCAAAGAGUUCCAAUAUUGAACAUCUUAAGUCUGUUACUUGGAGUAUGGAUUGAGUUUGGAGCUUACUCAGAGGACUACAGGAGAGUAUCCAGGAGGUGGAUAAUUACUGUACCUUCCUCAUGGAAAAAGUUUUAUUUAAAGUGUUAUUUCUCGUUGAAUACUAUCAAAAAGGAAAAAAAAAUGACCUAAACUUUUGAGACAGAUUUGGCUCUAGUAAGUAUUUAGAUAUAUCGCUUGCAUAUCUGGGAGAAGAAAUAAGAGACUAUCAUCAAUACAUUCCCAUCUACUAAAAAAUUUUAUUUUACACAUGUCAAGGGAUUACUUAUAACUUCCAUUGUCUUUUUUUUAAGCCUAUAUGCAAUGAAAAAUAUAUUGGCAAAAUAAAUAUUUAAACCUUUUAUGUUAAAAUUACUGUGAAAGAUGACAAGUUAGCUGCUGUUUUUGUCUACAUUAUACUGAAAUUAAAUGUUUAUAAUUUAUAUUUUGGGUUUAUUUAUUUAUAAAUCAUGGAAUUUAUGCAAAAAACAUGAGUAGUACAGAUUCUCCUCUAAUUCUGUAGGACUUUGAAUAAUGUGAUAUUUUUCUUAUAGUUGGACCCUUGUGUUUUGAAGAAAUGCCAACUGCUUGAAGAAUUUCCUUGUUAUUUGUAUUAUUUGCUAUAGGGUUAGAUGUUGAGAAAUUCUUCUGACAAAAAAUUUUAAGCCAGUUUUACACUAAAUAUUCCUUAGUCUGAUUAAUUUGUUAUUGGAUGUAUUCUGUAUCUUUCUUUUGUAAUUUGUAACUUUUAUCCACUUAGCACGAAUGAUUCUAUUGAAGAAAAUCUUUAGGAAGUGGUAGAAACUUUAAAUCGCCCCAUAGUUUGCCUGUUUCCACAUUUUAUUAUCUUAUAAUCUUUGGGAGUGCUUACACUUAUGGAGCUAACAUUUUCAGAGAUACAGGUUCUCAUAGUACUACUAAAACUUUUUUCCUCUUUGGACUGAAUACCUAUGAUUAUAACUAUACAGUAGUUUAAGUUUCCUUGUGAUUAGUCAAAAAUACCAUUUUAGUAUGAAGCAAUGAAGUCUAUUAUUUGUUGUCCCAUAAUUGAGAAACUUAGAUACACCUUUUAUUAAGAGUUUGUAAAUUCUAGCUUAGUCUACACAGAUUUUUAUAUCAAUUUGUUUAUAUUUUUAUUAAUGUCAUUUCUGGAAUUGUGAAAAUGUUAAUGUUCGACAAGCAACAUUAAAAAUAGAUUUGAAACAUU